UGNCCUGCCCGGUGAAAUUUUUAACGGCCGCGGUAUCUUGACCGUGCAAAGGUAGCAUAAUCAAUUGUUUUAUAAUUGAAGACUGGAAUGAAUGGUUGAAUGAAAUAUUGGCUGUCUUAUUAAUAUUUGUUAGAAAUUAGCUUUUAAAUGAAGAGAUUUAAAUAUAAUUGAUAGACAAGAAGACCCUAUUGAGCUUAAAAUAAUUUUAAAGAUGUAUUUUAUAGUGUAGAUAAAUAAAUUUUAGAUUUUUUUUGGUUGGGGCGACUGAGGAAUAAUCAAAGCUUCCUUUAAAUUAAAUAGAUUAUUUAAUUUUGAUCCAAUAUUAUUGAUUAAAAAAAAUAGUUACCAUAGGGAUAACAGCAUAAUCUUCUUUGAGAGUUCAUAUCGAAAAGAAGGGUUGUGACCUCGAUGUUGGACUAAAAUAUCCUAUAAAUGUAGCUGUUUAUGAGGGUUGGUCUGUUCG
This 463-nucleotide ribosomal RNA is filed under the name Bellamya dispiralis. RNAcentral's name for it is "partial large subunit ribosomal RNA". It matches the Rfam family "Bacterial large subunit ribosomal RNA", at positions 1854 to 2583 of the family's 2925-position model. The record is from RNAcentral. Lineage: Eukaryota; Metazoa; Mollusca; Gastropoda; Architaenioglossa; Viviparidae.